UGUGACCUCAAAUCAGGUAGGACUACCCGCUGAACUUAAGCAUAUCAAUAAGCGGAGGAAAAGAAACUAACAAGGAUUCCCCUAGUAACUGCGAGUGAAGCGGGAAAAGCUCAAAUUUAAAAUCUGGCAGUCUUUGGCUGUCCGAGUUGUAAUCUAGAGAAGUGUUAUCCGCGCUGGACCGUGUACAAGUCUCCUGGAAUGGAGCGUCAUAGAGGGUGAGAAUCCCGUCUUUGACACGGACUACCAGGGCUUUGUGAUGCGCUCUCAAAGAGUCGAGUUGUUUGGGAAUGCAGCUCAAAAUGGGUGGUAAAUUCCAUCUAAAGCUAAAUAUUGGCGAGAGACCGAUAGCGAACAAGUACCGUGAGGGAAAGAUGAAAAGAACUUUGGAAAGAGAGUUAAACAGUACGUGAAAUUGCUGAAAGGGAAACGCUUGAAGUCAGUCGCGUCGUCCAGGGAUCAACCUUGCUUUUGCUUGGUGCACUUUCUGGUUGACGGGUCAGCAUCAAUUUUGACCAUUGGAAAAAGAUCAAGGGAAUGUGACAUCUUUGGAUGUGUUAUAGCCCUUGGUUGCAUACGAUGGUUGGGAUUGAGGAACUCAGCACGCCGCAAGGCCGGG
This 616-nucleotide ribosomal RNA is filed under the name Cortinarius junghuhnii. RNAcentral's name for it is "eukaryotic LSU rRNA". It matches the Rfam family "Eukaryotic large subunit ribosomal RNA", at positions 1 to 615 of the family's 3401-position model. Lineage: Eukaryota; Fungi; Basidiomycota; Agaricomycetes; Agaricales; Cortinariaceae. RNAcentral also lists the same sequence under 1 other name. The record is from RNAcentral.